RNAcentral lists this ribosomal RNA (434 nucleotides) under Klebsiella oxytoca. RNAcentral's name for it is "bacterial SSU rRNA". It matches the Rfam family "Bacterial small subunit ribosomal RNA", at positions 368 to 795 of the family's 1533-position model. The record is from RNAcentral. Lineage: Bacteria; Pseudomonadati; Pseudomonadota; Gammaproteobacteria; Enterobacterales; Enterobacteriaceae.
ACAAUGGGCGCAAGCCUGAUGCAGCCAUGCCGCGUGUAUGAAGAAGGCCUUCGGGUUGUAAAGUACUUUCAGCGGGGAGGAAGGGAGUGAGGUUAAUAACCUCAUUCAUUGACGUUACCCGCAGAAGAAGCACCGGCUAACUCCGUGCCAGCAGCCGCGGUAAUACGGAGGGUGCAAGCGUUAAUCGGAAUUACUGGGCGUAAAGCGCACGCAGGCGGUCUGUCAAGUCGGAUGUGAAAUCCCCGGGCUCAACCUGGGAACUGCAUUCGAAACUGGCAGGCUGGAGUCUUGUAGAGGGGGGUAGAAUUCCAGGUGUAGCGGUGAAAUGCGUAGAGAUCUGGAGGAAUACCGGUGGCGAAGGCGGCCCCCUGGACAAAGACUGACGCUCAGGUGCGAAAGCGUGGGGAGCAAACAGGAUUAGAUACGGGGGGGUU